This 2903-nucleotide ribosomal RNA is filed under the name Klebsiella aerogenes UCI 16. RNAcentral's name for it is "bacterial LSU rRNA". It matches the Rfam family "Bacterial large subunit ribosomal RNA". The record is from RNAcentral. Lineage: Bacteria; Pseudomonadati; Pseudomonadota; Gammaproteobacteria; Enterobacterales; Enterobacteriaceae.
UUAAGCGACUAAGCGUACACGGUGGAUGCCCUGGCAGUCAGAGGCGAUGAAGGACGUGCUAAUCUGCGAAAAGCGUCGGUAAGGUGAUAUGAACCGUUACAGCCGGCGAUGUCCGAAUGGGGAAACCCAGUGUGAUUCGUCACACUAUCGUUAACUGAAUACAUAGGUUAACGAGGCGAACCGGGGGAACUGAAACAUCUAAGUACCCCGAGGAAAAGAAAUCAACCGAGAUUCCCCCAGUAGCGGCGCGCGAACGGGGAGCAGCCCAGAGUCUGAAUCAGCUUGUGUGUUAGUGGAACGGUCUGGAAAGUCCGACGGUACAGGGUGAUAGUCCCGUACACCAAAAUGCACAGGCUGUGAACUCGAAGAGUAGGGCGGGACACGUGGUAUCCUGUCUGAAUAUGGGGGGACCAUCCUCCAAGGCUAAAUACUCCUGACUGACCGAUAGUGAACCAGUACCGUGAGGGAAAGGCGAAAAGAACCCCGGCGAGGGGAGUGAAAAAGAACCUGAAACCGUGUACGUACAAGCAGUGGGAGCACCUUCGGGUGUGACUGCGUACCUUUUGUAUAAUGGGUCAGCGACUUAUAUUCUGUAGCAAGGUUAACCGUAUAGGGGAGCCGCAGGGAAACCGAGUCUUAACUGGGCGUUAAGUUGCAGGGUAUAGACCCGAAACCCGGUGAUCUAGCCAUGGGCAGGUUGAAGGUUGGGUAACACUAACUGGAGGACCGAACCGACUAAUGUUGAAAAAUUAGCGGAUGACUUGUGGCUGGGGGUGAAAGGCCAAUCAAACCGGGAGAUAGCUGGUUCUCCCCGAAAGCUAUUUAGGUAGCGCCUCGUGAAUUCAUCUUCGGGGGUAGAGCACUGUUUCGGCUAGGGGGUCAUCCCGACUUACCAACCCGAUGCAAACUACGAAUACCGAAGAAUGUUAUCACGGGAGACACACGGCGGGUGCUAACGUCCGUCGUGAAGAGGGAAACAACCCAGACCGCCAGCUAAGGUCCCAAAGUCACAGUUAAGUGGGAAACGAUGUGGGAAGGCACAGACAGCCAGGAUGUUGGCUUAGAAGCAGCCAUCAUUUAAAGAAAGCGUAAUAGCUCACUGGUCGAGUCGGCCUGCGCGGAAGAUGUAACGGGGCUAAACUGUGCACCGAAGCUGCGGCAGCGACACUAUGUGUUGUUGGGUAGGGGAGCGUUCUGUAAGCCUGCGAAGGUGGCCUGUGAGGGUUGCUGGAGGUAUCAGAAGUGCGAAUGCUGACAUAAGUAACGAUAAUGCGGGUGAAAAGCCCGCACGCCGGAAGACCAAGGGUUCCUGUCCAACGUUAAUCGGGGCAGGGUGAGUCGACCCCUAAGGCGAGGCCGAAAGGCGUAGUCGAUGGGAAACAGGUUAAUAUUCCUGUACUUGGUGUUACUGCGAAGGGGGGACGGAGAAGGCUAUGUUAGCCGGGCGACGGUUGUCCCGGUUUAAGCAUGUAGGCGGAGGUUCCAGGUAAAUCCGGUACCUUUUUAACGCUGAGGUGUGAUGACGAGGCACUACGGUGCUGAAGUAACAAAUGCCCUGCUUCCAGGAAAAGCCUCUAAGCAUCAGGUAACAUUAAAUCGUACCCCAAACCGACACAGGUGGUCAGGUAGAGAAUACCAAGGCGCUUGAGAGAACUCGGGUGAAGGAACUAGGCAAAAUGGUGCCGUAACUUCGGGAGAAGGCACGCUGAUAUGUAGGUGAAGCCCCUGCGGGUGGAGCUGAAAUCAGUCGAAGAUACCAGCUGGCUGCAACUGUUUAUUAAAAACACAGCACUGUGCAAACACGAAAGUGGACGUAUACGGUGUGACGCCUGCCCGGUGCCGGAAGGUUAAUUGAUGGGGUUAUCCGUAAGGAGAAGCUCUUGAUCGAAGCCCCGGUAAACGGCGGCCGUAACUAUAACGGUCCUAAGGUAGCGAAAUUCCUUGUCGGGUAAGUUCCGACCUGCACGAAUGGCGUAAUGAUGGCCAGGCUGUCUCCACCCGAGACUCAGUGAAAUUGAACUCGCUGUGAAGAUGCAGUGUACCCGCGGCAAGACGGAAAGACCCCGUGAACCUUUACUAUAGCUUGACACUGAACAUUGAGCCUUGAUGUGUAGGAUAGGUGGGAGGCUUUGAAGCGUGGACGCCAGUCUGCGUGGAGCCAACCUUGAAAUACCACCCUUUAAUGUUUGAUGUUCUAACGUUGGCCCCUUAUCGGGGUUGCGGACAGUGUCUGGUGGGUAGUUUGACUGGGGCGGUCUCCUCCCAAAGAGUAACGGAGGAGCACGAAGGUUAGCUAAUCCUGGUCGGACAUCAGGAGGUUAGUGCAAUGGCAUAAGCUAGCUUGACUGCGAGCGUGACGGCGCGAGCAGGUGCGAAAGCAGGUCAUAGUGAUCCGGUGGUUCUGAAUGGAAGGGCCAUCGCUCAACGGAUAAAAGGUACUCCGGGGAUAACAGGCUGAUACCGCCCAAGAGUUCAUAUCGACGGCGGUGUUUGGCACCUCGAUGUCGGCUCAUCACAUCCUGGGGCUGAAGUAGGUCCCAAGGGUAUGGCUGUUCGCCAUUUAAAGUGGUACGCGAGCUGGGUUUAGAACGUCGUGAGACAGUUCGGUCCCUAUCUGCCGUGGGCGCUGGAGAAUUGAGGGGGGCUGCUCCUAGUACGAGAGGACCGGAGUGGACGCAUCACUGGUGUUCGGGUUGUCAUGCCAAUGGCAUUGCCCGGUAGCUAAAUGCGGAAGAGAUAAGUGCUGAAAGCAUCUAAGCACGAAACUUGCCCCGAGAUGAGUUCUCCCUGAGACUUUAAGUCUCCUGAAGGAACGUUAAAGACGAUGACGUUGAUAGGUCGGGUGUGUAAGCGUAGCGAUACGUUGAGCUAACCGAUACUAAUGAACCGUGAGGCUUAACCUU